GAUAUUUCUCAUGAAAUGACACGCGCUUCGGAAACAAUUAAACAUAUCAAAAUAGCGCGUUAUUAUAAUAAAAGGCGAUGGGUUUGCCAUCAUCCAUCAUUCGUUCAGAUAACACACAAGAUGAACAAGGCAAUUCUUCUUCUACUUCUUAUCGGACUCCUCGUCCUUACCGAAACUACCCAAGCAUGGUGGUAUCGUCGCAGAUACCGUCAUACUAAAAGAACCGUUGUUAUUGGCGACCAACAAACAAUGGAAAAGUUUGAAGAAAUGCUUGAAAGCUUCCCAAGCCAAGAUGAAGAUCAACAAUAAUUCAACUGUGUAAACAAAGUAAUAUUCAAUGCAGUGUCGGCAUUUUAUUAAAACACCAUAAAUUA
Ciona intestinalis (vase tunicate) is the source of this 374-nucleotide non-coding RNA. The record is from RefSeq and is a predicted model, not a curated record. Lineage: Eukaryota; Metazoa; Chordata; Ascidiacea; Phlebobranchia; Cionidae.